This 1393-nucleotide ribosomal RNA is filed under the name uncultured bacterium. RNAcentral's name for it is "bacterial SSU rRNA". It matches the Rfam family "Bacterial small subunit ribosomal RNA". The record is from RNAcentral.
UUAGAGUUUGAUCCUGGCUCAGGAUGAACGCUGGCGGCGUGCUUAACACAUGCAAGUCGAACGAUGACUUUUGUGCUUGCACAAAAUGAUUAGUGGCGAACGGGUGAGUAACACGUGAGUAACCUGCCCUUAACUUCGGGAUAAGCCUGGGAAACCGGGUCUAAUACCGGAUACGACGGAUCCCCGCAUGGGGGUCCGUGGAAAGCUUGAUGCGGUUUUGGAUGGACAUGCGUUGUAUUAGCUAGAUGGUGAGGUAACGGCUCACCAUGGCGACGAUACAUAGGGGGACUGAGAGGUUAACCCCCCACAUUGGUACUGAGACACGGACCAAACUCCUACGGGAGGCAGCAGUGAGGAAUAUUGGUCAAUGGACGCAAGUCUGAACCAGCCAUGCCGCGUGCAGGAAGACGGCUCUAUGAGUUGUAAACUGCUUUUGUACAAGGGUAAACCUCGGUACGUGUACCGAGCUGAAAGUACUGUACGAAUAAGGAUCGGCUAACUCCGUGCCAGCAGCCGCGGUAAUACGGAGGAUCCAAGCGUUAUCCGGAUUUAUUGGGUUUAAAGGGUGCGUAGGCGGAUUGAUAAGUUAGAGGUGAAAGCUCGGGGCUCAACUCCGGAACUGCCUCUAAUACUGUUGAUCUAGAGAGUAGAUGCGGUAGGCGGAAUGUAUGGUGUAGCGGUGAAAUGCUUAGAGAUCAUACAGAACACCGAUUGCGAAGGCAGCUUACCAAACUAUAUCUGACGUUGAGGCACGAAAGCGUGGGGAGCAAACAGGAUUAGAUACCCUGGUAGUCCACGCAGUAAACGAUGAUAGCUCGUUGUCGGCGAUACACAGUCGGUGACUUAGAGAAAUCGAUAAGCUAUCCACCUGGGGAGUACGUUCGCAAGAAUGAAACUCAAAGGAAUUGACGGGGGCCCGCACAAGCGGAGGAACAUGUGGUUUAAUUCGAUGAUACGCGAGGAACCUUACCCGGGCUUGAAAGUUAGCGACGGACUUGGAAACAGGUCUUCCCUUCGGGGCGCGAAACUAGGUGCUGCAUGGUUGUCGUCAGCUCGUGCCGUGAGGUGUCGGGUUAAGUCCCAUAACGAGCGCAACCCCUACUGAUAGUUGCCAUCAGGUUACGCUGGGCACUCUAUCGGGACUGCCUCUGUAAGGAGGAGGAGGGUGGGGAUGACGUCAAAUCAGCACGGCCCUUACGUCCGGGGCGACACACGUGUUACAAUGGUAGGUACAGAGGGCAGCCACCCAGCGAUGGGGAGCAAAUCUCGAAAGCCUAUCUCAGUUCGGAUUGGAGGCUGAAACUCGCCUCCAUGAAGUUGGAUUCGCUAGUAAUCGCGCAUCAGCCAUGGCGCGGUGAAUACGUUCCCGGGCCUUGCACACACCGCCCGUCAA